UACGGGGGGAGCAAACGUUGUUCGGAAUCACUGGGCGUAAAGGGCGUGUAGGCGGCUGAAUAAGUGGGAUGUUAAAUCCCCCGGCUCAACCGGGGACCUGCAUCUCAUACUGUACAGCUCGAGCACAUCAGAGGAGACUGGAAUUCCCGGUGUAGCGGUGAAAUGCGUAGAUAUGCGGAGGAACACCGAUGGCGAAGGCAAUCCCCUGGGCCUGCACUGACGCUCAUGCACGAAAGCGUGGGGAGCAAACAGG
RNAcentral lists this ribosomal RNA (253 nucleotides) under uncultured bacterium. RNAcentral describes it as "partial 16S ribosomal RNA". It matches the Rfam family "Bacterial small subunit ribosomal RNA", at positions 524 to 776 of the family's 1533-position model. The record is from RNAcentral.